Molecule: unclassified non-coding RNA, 406 nt
Filed under: soil metagenome
Description: partial contains 5.8S ribosomal RNA, internal transcribed spacer 2, and large subunit ribosomal RNA
Rfam family: 5.8S ribosomal RNA (bases 1-121)
Source: RNAcentral
GAUGAAGAACGUAGCGAAAUGCGAUAAGUAAUGUGAAUUGCAGAAUUCAGUGAAUCAUCGAAUCUUUGAACGCACCUUGCGCCCUUUGGCCAUUCCGAAGGGCAUGCCUGUUUGAGUAUCAUGAACACCUCAACUCUUCAUGGUUUUCCGUGAUGAGCUUGGACUUUGGGGGUCUUGCUGGCCUAUGGUCAGCUCCUCUAAAAUAAAUCAGCUUGCCAGUGUUUGGUGGGUAUCACAGGUGUGAUAACUAUCUACGCUUGUGGUCUUCCACCAGGUAACCUUCAGCAGUGGAGGUUCGCUGGAGCUCACAGAUGUGUCUCUCCUCAGUGAGGACAGCUCUUUGAAUGUUUGAUCUCAAAUCAGGUAGGACUACCCGCUGAACUUAAGCAUAUCAAUAAGCGGAGGA